RNAcentral lists this ribosomal RNA (509 nucleotides) under Polyrhaphis grandini. Its description in RNAcentral is "partial large subunit ribosomal RNA". The stretch from base 380 to 509 matches the Rfam family "Bacterial large subunit ribosomal RNA", at positions 2473 to 2603 of the family's 2925-position model. Lineage: Eukaryota; Metazoa; Arthropoda; Insecta; Coleoptera; Cerambycidae. The record is from RNAcentral.
GGCUUUUUGUUUAAAAUUUAAAGUUUGACCUGCCCAUUGAAAUUUAAAAGGCUGCAGUAUUUUGACUGUACUAAGGUAGCAUAAUCAUUAGUUUCUUAAUUAGAAGCUGGAAUGAAUGGUUGGAUGAGAAAAUAACUGUUUCAAUUUUAAUUAUUAAAUUUUAUUUUUAAGUUAAAAAGCUUAAAUUUUUUAAAAAGACGAGAAGACCCUAUAGAGUUUUAUAAUAUAGAAUAAUUAUUGUUUUAGGAAUUUAAAUGUAAAUAUUUUUUUUUAUUUGGUUGGGGUGAUUAAAAAAUUUAUUUAACUUUUUUUAUUAUUAAUCAUAAAUUUAUGAAUAAAUGAUCCUUAUAUAAAGAUUAAAAGAUUAAAUUACCUUAGGGAUAACAGCGUAAUUUUUUUUUAGAGUUCAAAUCGAAAAAAAAGUUUGCGACCUCGAUGUUGGAUUAAAAUUAAUUUUUGGUGAAGAAGUUAAAAAAUUAAGUCUGUUCGACUUUUAAAAUUUUACAUGA